CUGCCAGUGAACAUGACAGAGGACAGAAACAAGAGAAAGCUGGUGCAUCACGGCCUUGAUGGAAGCCCUGGGACAGUGGGACAUACAGGUACAGGGAGCCAUCCCGUCCUCAGAAGUUUAAGGAGGCUGUGCCAACAGAAUGCUAAGCUUUAUCUUUGGCCCUGGCUCCUUUUGCUCCUGACUGGACUCUCUGGAUGGACUCUGGACCUGGUCCAUCACAUCACCUUGUCUUGGACUCUUGAUGAGUGCUGUUACCAGUGGCUGGCUGUGUCCAUGGUGUUCAGGCUCUGUGAGACUGUGUCCUGUCAGUGAGGGCACUGUCUGCCCUGGGGCCAUCUUCAGCUCCUGGUUUGCCCACCCUCAUGGAGUAGCCUUGCUCUUACAGCUCCCUCAAGAUCUGCUGGCUUUGCUGAAUGAACAGCCGAUGAAUAAAGCAAGAACUACAACAGUCA
RNAcentral lists this long non-coding RNA (452 nucleotides) under Struthio camelus australis. RNAcentral's name for it is "lncRNA (ENSSCUG00000007639.1)". The record is from RNAcentral. Lineage: Eukaryota; Metazoa; Chordata; Aves; Struthioniformes; Struthionidae.